CGCACGGGUGAGUAACACGUAAGCAAUCUGGCUACAGGAGGGGGAUAACAUCGGGAAACCGGUGCUAAUACCGCAUGAUGCAGCGGGGCCGCAUGGCCACAGUUGUUAAAGGAUUUCGGUCCGCCUGUAGAUGAGCUUGCGGGCCAUUAGUUAGUUGGUGAGGUAACGGCUCACCAAGGCGAUGAUGGCUAGGGGUUCUGAGAGGAUGGUCCCCCACACUGGAACUGAGACACGGUCCAGACUCCUACGGGAGGCAGCAGUGAGGAAUAUUGCGCAAUGGGCGAAAGCCUGACGCAGCCACGCCGCGUGCCGGAAGACGGUCCUAUGGAUUGUAAACGGCUUUUGCCAGGGAAGAACCAUCUCGAUUUGUCGGGAUCUGACGGUACAUGGUGAAUAAGCACCGGCUAACUCCGUGCCAGCAGCCGCGGUAAUACGGAGGGUGCAAGCGUUGUCCGGAAUCAUUGGGUGUAAAGGGUGCGUAGGCGGGUCUUUAAGUCUGGGGUGAAAUCCUGCGGCUCAACCGUAGAAUGGCCUCGGAUACUGGAGACCUUGAGUAUGACAGAGGGUGGCGGAAUUCGUAGUGUAGCGGUGAAAUGCAUAGAUAUUACGAAGAACACCAGUGGCGUAGGCGGCCACCUGGGUCAUAACUGACGCUGAGGCACGAGAGCGUGGGGAGCGAACAGGAUUAGAUACCCUGGCAGUCCACGCCGUAAACGAUGUAUACUAGGUGUCGGUCCUUUUGGGGGUCGGUGCUGCAGCUAACGCAUUAAGUAUACCACCUGGGGAGUACGUUGGCAACAAUGAAACUCAAAGGAAUUGACGGGGGCCCGCACAAGCGGUGGAGCAUGUGGCUUAAUUCGAUGCAACGCGAAGAACCUUACC
This 882-nucleotide ribosomal RNA is filed under the name uncultured bacterium. RNAcentral describes it as "bacterial SSU rRNA". It matches the Rfam family "Bacterial small subunit ribosomal RNA", at positions 99 to 975 of the family's 1533-position model. The record is from RNAcentral.